This 379-nucleotide ribosomal RNA is filed under the name Clostridioides difficile. RNAcentral's name for it is "bacterial SSU rRNA". It matches the Rfam family "Bacterial small subunit ribosomal RNA", at positions 525 to 905 of the family's 1533-position model. The record is from RNAcentral. Lineage: Bacteria; Bacillati; Bacillota; Clostridia; Peptostreptococcales; Peptostreptococcaceae.
ACGUAGGGGGCUAGCGUUAUCCGGAUUUACUGGGCGUAAAGGGUGCGUAGGCGGUCUUUCAAGUCAGGAGUGAAAGGCUACGGCUCAACCGUAGUAAGCUCUUGAAACUGGGAGACUUGAGUGCAGGAGAGGAGAGUGGAAUUCCUAGUGUAGCGGUGAAAUGCGUAGAUAUUAGGGGGAACACCAGUUGCGAAGGCGGCUCUCUGGACUGUAACUGACGCUGAGGCACGAAAGCGUGGGGAGCAAACAGGAUUAGAUACCCUGGUAGUCCACGCUGUAAACGAUGAGUACUAGGUGUCGGGGGUUACCCCCCUCGGUGCCGCAGCUAACGCAUUAAGUACUCCGCCUGGGAAGUACGCUCGCAAGAGUGAAACUCAAA